GCAGAGCUCGCUAGGAGGCCGGAGCCGGGGCGGUGCUGGUGCGGAGGGAGACAAGUGCCUGCGUGCUGGAAAUAGGCAGGAGGGAAACUGGGCGCGACCUGCUAAACCAAACCCGCUCUGAACUUGCUCUGUCCCAGUCGGUGCCCUUGACGGGGUCAUACAUCACCAGCCUGCUUCCCCCGGGCGCCCACUUCAGCUGCACAUCGUCCAGAUCAUAAAGGCUGGGAGGAUGAGGGCCAGGCCUGUAAGCGGCGAGGCUACCGGGCUCCUUAGGGUGAAGGACAACCUCACUGGUAAGGUUCCUACUGCCUAAUGAGGGGAAGAGCUGCGGUUGAGCAGCUCUGAGUGGACUUCCCAGAGGGAAGCAGGCCUGGAGGAGGGUGGACCUCCCAGAUUUCACCUAAACAAUGGACAGGAUUUUUCUGAAAAUGUUUGGAUGUUUUUAAAUAAGAAUCAUCUGCAAAAGAAUUUCUAGAAGUUUGAACUCCACUACUCAAAUGAUCUGAAGAUCAUUUCGAAUAAAUGUUGAAAGAGUGAUAACCACAUAGAUACCAAUAGUCUUUAAAUGUUUUUUUCUAUUUUUAAUAAUUAAAUUAUUAAUUCAAUCAACAAUGGAAAUGUAGAAAAGUAAAAAGAACAGGACAAUAAUCCACACUUCUACCUCCUGAGGGAAAUGACAUUAAUAUUUAGAAAUUUUUUUCUAUUUUGGAGAGUGUUAAAUGUAAUAUAUAUGUGCAUAUACAUAGAUAACAUGUACCCUGCUUUUCUUAAUAUAUUAGCAUUUUCUCAUAGUAUCCAAUAUUCUUUUACACCAUUAUUUUAAUGAUGGCAUAAAUCCAUUUCUAUGAAUGCACCAUAAUUUAUGUAACCAUUCUCCUAGCAAGAGAGAUUUGUGUUUUUUCCAAUUCUACACUGUUAUAGAUAGUGCUUCAGCAAGCAUUUUGGAACAUAAAUACUUGCAUCUCUGAUUAUUUCUCUAGGAAAUAUUCACAGAAGUGGGAUUACAAUGUCCAUGGGUAAGGAAUUUAUAAAGAAGUUAAGUAUUGACAAAUGUACACCCUCACCACCAGCAUAGGAAAGUGUCAGUCUUAACAUAACCUUACUAACAAUGGGUAUUAUUAUUUUUAAGAAGUUUAAGCCAUGUGAUAGGCAAAAAUGACACCUUGCUUUUGAUUCAAUUUGUUUCAGUUAUUAGUGAACUUGAACAUUUUCCCCAUGCAUGAAUUAACCAUUUGUAUAUUUUCUUUUGUGAAUAAAUUAUUUAUACUUUUUUCUCAUUUUUCUAUUAAGUUAUUGUAGGUUUUAAAAAAAUUUUUUGUUUGGUUUUUAUUUCAGUCUUUCAUGAAUUUAUAAGUAUAUUAAACUUUUAUAUGUAU
This is a long non-coding RNA of Manis pentadactyla (Chinese pangolin), 1376 nucleotides long. RefSeq lists it as uncharacterized. The transcript has 5 exons. The record is from RefSeq and is a predicted model, not a curated record. Lineage: Eukaryota; Metazoa; Chordata; Mammalia; Pholidota; Manidae.